UUACGGCCACAUCCCGAUGAAACAGCGGUUCCCGUACGAUACACCGAAGUUAAGCAACAUCGAGCCUGGUCAGUACCUAGAUAGGUGACCAUUUUGGAAUACCAGGU
Acanthosepion pharaonis is the source of this 107-nucleotide non-coding RNA. The record is from the annotation of a GenBank genome assembly. NCBI's taxonomy places the organism in Eukaryota, Metazoa, Mollusca, Cephalopoda, Sepiida, Sepiidae.